Molecule: ribosomal RNA, 1327 nt
Filed under: Curtobacterium pusillum
Lineage: Bacteria; Bacillati; Actinomycetota; Actinomycetes; Micrococcales; Microbacteriaceae
Description: bacterial SSU rRNA
Rfam family: Bacterial small subunit ribosomal RNA
Source: RNAcentral
UAGUGGCGAACGGGUGAGUAACACGUGAGUAACCUGCCCCUGACUCUGGGAUAAGCGUUGGAAACGACGUCUAAUACUGGAUAUGACUGCCGGCCGCAUGGUCUGGUGGUGGAAAGAUUUUUUGGUUGGGGAUGGACUCGCGGCCUAUCAGCUUGUUGGUGAGGUAAUGGCUCACCAAGGCGACGACGGGUAGCCGGCCUGAGAGGGUGACCGGCCACACUGGGACUGAGACACGGCCCAGACUCCUACGGGAGGCAGCAGUGGGGAAUAUUGCACAAUGGGCGAAAGCCUGAUGCAGCAACGCCGCGUGAGGGAUGACGGCCUUCGGGUUGUAAACCUCUUUUAGUAGGGAAGAAGCGAAAGUGACGGUACCUGCAGAAAAAGCACCGGCUAACUACGUGCCAGCAGCCGCGGUAAUACGUAGGGUGCAAGCGUUGUCCGGAAUUAUUGGGCGUAAAGAGCUCGUAGGCGGUUUGUCGCGUCUGCUGUGAAAUCCCGAGGCUCAACCUCGGGCUUGCAGUGGGUACGGGCAGACUAGAGUGCGGUAGGGGAGAUUGGAAUUCCUGGUGUAGCGGUGGAAUGCGCAGAUAUCAGGAGGAACACCGAUGGCGAAGGCAGAUCUCUGGGCCGUAACUGACGCUGAGGAGCGAAAGCAUGGGGAGCGAACAGGAUUAGAUACCCUGGUAGUCCAUGCCGUAAACGUUGGGCGCUAGAUGUAGGGACCUUUCCACGGUUUCUGUGUCGUAGCUAACGCAUUAAGCGCCCCGCCUGGGGAGUACGGCCGCAAGGCUAAAACUCAAAGGAAUUGACGGGGGCCCGCACAAGCGGCGGAGCAUGCGGAUUAAUUCGAUGCAACGCGAAGAACCUUACCAAGGCUUGACAUACACCGGAAACGGCCAGAGAUGGUCGCCCCCUUGUGGUCGGUGUACAGGUGGUGCAUGGUUGUCGUCAGCUCGUGUCGUGAGAUGUUGGGUUAAGUCCCGCAACGAGCGCAACCCUCGUUCUAUGUUGCCAGCGCGUUAUGGCGGGGACUCAUAGGAGACUGCCGGGGUCAACUCGGAGGAAGGUGGGGAUGACGUCAAAUCAUCAUGCCCCUUAUGUCUUGGGCUUCACGCAUGCUACAAUGGCCGGUACAAAGGGCUGCGAUACCGUAAGGUGGAGCGAAUCCCAAAAAGCCGGUCUCAGUUCGGAUUGAGGUCUGCAACUCGACCUCAUGAAGUCGGAGUCGCUAGUAAUCGCAGAUCAGCAACGCUGCGGUGAAUACGUUCCCGGGCCUUGUACACACCGCCCGUCAAGUCAUGAAAGUCGGUAACACCCGAAGCCGGUG